RNAcentral lists this ribosomal RNA (253 nucleotides) under uncultured bacterium. RNAcentral's name for it is "partial 16S ribosomal RNA". It matches the Rfam family "Bacterial small subunit ribosomal RNA", at positions 524 to 776 of the family's 1533-position model. The record is from RNAcentral.
UACAGAGGGUGCAAGCGUUAAUCGGAAUUACUGGGCGUAAAGGGCGCGUAGGCGGCCUGUUAAGUCGAACGUGAAAUCCCCGGGCUCAACCCGGGAACUGCGUCCGAAACUGGCAGGCUUGAAUCCGGGAGAGGGAUGUGGAAUUCCAGGUGUAGCGGUGAAAUGCGUAGAUAUCUGGAGGAACAUCGGUGGCGAAGGCGACAUCCUGGACCGGUAUUGACGCUGAGGCGCGAAAGCCAGGGGAGCAAACGGG